This 329-nucleotide unclassified non-coding RNA is filed under the name soil metagenome. RNAcentral's name for it is "partial contains 5.8S ribosomal RNA, internal transcribed spacer 2, and large subunit ribosomal RNA". The stretch from base 1 to 120 matches the Rfam family "5.8S ribosomal RNA", at positions 35 to 154 of the family's 154-position model. The record is from RNAcentral.
GAUGAAGAACGCAGCGAAAUGCAAUAAGUAAUGUGAAUUGCAGAAUUCAGUGAAUCAUCGAAUCUUUGAACGCACAUUGCGCCCCCUGGUAUUCCGGGGGGCAUGCCUGUUCGAGCGUCAUUACAACCCUCAAGCUCUGCUUGGUAUUGGGCCCCGCCAGUUCUGGCGGGCCCUAAAGUCAGUGGCGGUGCCUUCCGGCUCCGAGCGUAGUAAUUCUUCUCGCUCUGGAGACCCGGUUGUGUGCUUGCCAACAACCCCCAAUUUUUUAAGGUUGACCUCGGAUCAGGUAGGGAUACCCGCUGAACUUAAGCAUAUCAAUAAGCGGAGGA